Long non-coding RNA from Ornithorhynchus anatinus (platypus), 642 nucleotides. RefSeq lists it as uncharacterized. The record is from RefSeq and is a predicted model, not a curated record. Lineage: Eukaryota; Metazoa; Chordata; Mammalia; Monotremata; Ornithorhynchidae. The transcript has 3 exons.
UACCAGGAAACGGAUCGUCGGCCAAGUCAUUUUACAGCAAGCAGGCAAGAAGGCCCUGCCAGUUUCCAUUCAUUUUUUGUGUAUGUUCACUGAUCCCUUUGUGCUUCGAUCUGGGACAAAUAGAUGCUCUUCACAGUACAGUUUCUGGUCGGCCACGGUCUUUGCAGAAGCCCCCGACAGCUUCAGGCCAAGUUGGGUGUACCCACCCUCAACAUUCAAAACGAAGCACGGUCACAGGAUUUCAUAAAAUGCCUUGAACAAGUUAGACUGUACAACAAGAUCCAGUUUUAUUAAGUAACCACAAAAAUGUUCAAGGAACAAGUUUUUUUUGUUCGUUGUCAACCGGAAGAUUAUUAUUCCAUUCAUGAAGAGGAGGGCAAGGAGGAGAAAGGACUGGGAGAGAAAGUCGGCUGUAAUUACAAUAAAUCUAUUUUGGGGUUGAGUCACCGAUCUUCCUUUUCGAAAAAGAAGAGAAAAAAAAUUAAAAUAAGGAUCCCACUCAACCCAGAUGUGGGCCGUGAAGUUCUCAUCUGACUCACCUCCUUUCCCCCCAAGCUCAGUAAGUGAUUUCCCUACACAUUCCCCGCGCCCUUGCAAGCUCCAACAAAGCGAACCCUUUAAUACAUCAUUUGACGAGCCACA